CCUACGGGUGGCAGCAGUGGGGAAUAUUGCACAAUGGGGGAAACCCUGAUGCAGCGACGCCGCGUGAGUGAAGAAGUAUUUCGGUAUGUAAAGCUCUAUCAGCAGGGAAGAAACCCACCCUCCGGGGUGGCUGACGGUACCUGACUAAGAAGCCCCGGCUAACUACGUGCCAGCAGCCGCGGUAAUACGUAGGGGGCAAGCGUUAUCCGGAUUUACUGGGUGUAACGGGAGCGUAGGUGGCAAGGCAAGUCAGAUGGGAAAGCCCGGGGCUCAACCCCGGGACUGCAUUGGGAACUGACCCGCUCGAGGGCCGGAGGGGCAGGCGGAAUUCCUAGGGUAGCGGGGAAAUGCGUAGAUAUUAGGAGGAACACCAGUGGCGAAGGCGGCCUGCUGGACGGGGUACUGACGCUGAGGCUCGAAAGCGUGGGGAGCAAACAGGAUUAGAUACCCUGGUAGUC
This 458-nucleotide ribosomal RNA is filed under the name uncultured bacterium. RNAcentral's name for it is "partial 16S ribosomal RNA". It matches the Rfam family "Bacterial small subunit ribosomal RNA", at positions 338 to 795 of the family's 1533-position model. The record is from RNAcentral.